Long non-coding RNA from Neofelis nebulosa (Clouded leopard), 1371 nucleotides. RefSeq lists it as uncharacterized. Lineage: Eukaryota; Metazoa; Chordata; Mammalia; Carnivora; Felidae. The record is from RefSeq and is a predicted model, not a curated record. The transcript is spliced from 4 exons.
GGUAACCCAACAUCCGUCUGCCCCCAAACUACAGACCUUAGUGAAGUCAUAAUGGACCUUCUCCUCUGUUAAACUUAACCUUUGAGGAUUGCCACAUUGUUACAGAACAGGUGCUCGACUCAGCGCCAUGCUGACUUUCAGCCAGGACUGCUUACUCUUUCAUUCACUCUCAGAUUGAUUUAUAGGCACAAGACAGGAUUUCUUUCCAGAUCUGUGUCUCCACAUCGGUAGCACUGGAUGACAUUGGAGCUGCCUCGGGGAUUGUAAGGAUUCUGCUGAUAAGGAACUGUAGAAAGAAACAAAGAGAUCACCAUCCAGAAGGCCCUUGCUCUUUAGAAACUCUGCUAGAAGACACUGUCCUAAUCCUAACUGGGAGAAAAAGCAGAAAGGGAAGUAAUUAGCUGAGUACCUUCAAUACAUCAUCAGGGCUGCACCUGCCAAGCUCGGGCAUCAUGAGAAGGGAGACCGCGAGGGCUGCUUUCCCGUAGCGCAGAAGGGCUACGCGUGUGCCCCCUCAUGGCGUCAUUACACCUGUGUUCAUCGCGUGACUCCCUGGGGCCGGUCAGAGCGGAAGAGGACUGGGAGAUGCGGAAACUGAGGCCCGAAGAGCUGAGGUCACUCGCCCAAGGCCACACCGUUAGUAUGGCAGCAGGGCCUGAACCUAGGUAGUUCUCACCACGAUGCUUUACUGCCUGCCAUGCACCAGUGCCAACACGGCUCCCUCUGGGGAGGGAGUGAGCUUGGGGGAGGCUACAAAGGGCAUCUAAUUACUCCCCAGACAGUAAUCAUCCAUCCCUUGUCUAGCCGAUUUCCAAUGUGCACAUAAAUUUCACACAGAUUUAAGAAUAACGUUUGGAGGGUACAGCCCAGGAAACUGGGCACGGUAACGCAGCAUCUGUGGCCAAGGAUGAAGACUCCAUGAUGGUUGCCCCCUCCCCCCUCCCCCCCCCCCCCCAAAACGAGCGGAUGGCAGCCUUGAGCCACUUCCCCGGCACGAGAGGGGCAGCCCGACAGGUGUGGGUGUUGGGUCCCUCAGAGAGGCAGGCUCUGCAGGUGCUGGCAGCUGUCACAGAGCAGAGGCAGGGGCGCUCUGGGAAACCCCCAGUCCCUGCACAGAUGGCCCGGCCUGGCCCCACUUUCCCAUGUCAGCAGGUCGGUAACACGGUCUGUCACCCCAAGACGACAUUAUAAAAGCCUUGCUGCAACAGAAACUCUUCCUCAGCCUCUCUCUGCCAGGCUCGUCAGCGUGUUCCGUGGUCAUGGCGGGGAGCUGGCAACAUGGCCGCGCCACCUUCUUCAGAAGUAUGUUGUCAGGACAUGUGUCAGAACGGCACGCUCUUGGCCAGACAGGCUGCUCUUGCCUGACAGCCA